This 497-nucleotide ribosomal RNA is filed under the name uncultured bacterium. RNAcentral describes it as "partial 16S ribosomal RNA". It matches the Rfam family "Bacterial small subunit ribosomal RNA", at positions 28 to 507 of the family's 1533-position model. The record is from RNAcentral.
GAUGAACGCUGGCGGCGUGCCUAAUACAUGCAAGUAGAACGCUGAAGCUUGGUGCUUGCACCGAGCGGAUGAGUUGCGAACGGGUGAGUAACGCGUAGGUAACCUGCCUCUUAGCGGGGGAUAACUAUUGGAAACGAUAGCUAAUACCGCAUAAAAGUCGACAUCGCAUGAUGUUGACUUGAAAGGUGCAAUUGCAUCACUAAGAGAUGGACCUGCGUUGUAUUAGCUAGUUGGUGAGGUAACGGCUCACCAAGGCGACGAUACAUAGCCGACCUGAGAGGGGGAUCGGCCACACUGGGACUGAGACACGGCCCAGACUCCUACGGGAGGCAGCAGUAGGGAAUCUUCGGCAAUGGGGGCAACCCUGACCGAGCAACGCCGCGUGAGUGAAGAAGGUUUUCGGAUCGUAAAGCUCUGUUGUAAGAGAAGAACGAGUGUGAGAGUGGAAAGUUCACACUGUGACGGUAACUUACCAGAAAGGGACGGCUAACUACGUG